CUGAUGGAGCACACCGCGUGAGUGAGAAGGGUUUCGGCUCGUAAAACUCUGUUGUUGGAGAAGAACGUGCGUAAGAGUAACUGUUUACGCAGUGACGGUAUCCAACCAGAAAGUCACGGCUAACUACGUGCCAGCAGCCGCGGUAAUACGUAGGUGGCAAGCGUUAUCCGGAUUUAUUGGGCGUAAAGCGAGCGCAGGCGGUUGCUUAGGUCUGAUGUGAAAGCCUUCGGCUUAACCGAAGAAGUGCAUCGGAAACCGGGCGACUUGAGUGCAGAAGAGGACAGUGGAACUCCAUGUGUAGCGGUGGAAUGCGUAGAUAUAUGGAAGAACACCAGUGGCGAAGGCGGCUGUCUGGUCUGCAACUGACGCUGAGGCUCGAAAGCAUGGGUAGCGAACA
RNAcentral lists this ribosomal RNA (397 nucleotides) under Limosilactobacillus oris. RNAcentral describes it as "bacterial SSU rRNA". It matches the Rfam family "Bacterial small subunit ribosomal RNA", at positions 383 to 774 of the family's 1533-position model. The record is from RNAcentral. Lineage: Bacteria; Bacillati; Bacillota; Bacilli; Lactobacillales; Lactobacillaceae.